This is a non-coding RNA of Myodes glareolus (Bank vole), 898 nucleotides long. NCBI's taxonomy places the organism in Eukaryota, Metazoa, Chordata, Mammalia, Rodentia, Cricetidae. The record is from RefSeq and is a predicted model, not a curated record.
GCGAGUAGGCCAGCCUGCCACGUCUUGAAUUUUUUGUUUGUUUAUUUUUUCGGUGCAGAUUUUCCCACGCUGCGCUCCCACCGACUCCACAGCGGCAGCCCCGCACGUGGAGGGGAAGGAACAUAACUGGCGCGGGUAGGGCCAGGUCGCGGUGAAGGAGCUGCGGCUGCGGGCUGCCUGGCGCCAGAGAGCGCAUUGUGCGGGAGCGCUGAAUGGAGCUGGGCUAUGUGCGGGCGGGCUCGCACGGAUUAGCCUGCUUUCCCAUGAACUACAAAAGAAUGCUCGAAUCUGGGACAUUUGUCAUCAAGGGGCAGGCUGCGCAGGAUGCAAGAUGGUCUCCAACAUAGGAAGGUGAAGUGGAGCCAGACUGGAGGAGCCUGGAAUUUACCAAUUAGGUUAGCCUGGCUGACGAGUGAGCCCCAAGGAUCCACCCGUCUUCACCUCCCUGGUGAUGGAAUUACGUGCCCAUGCUACUGCACUGAUUUUUUUUCCCCUAAGGAUUCUAGGGAACCAACUCAGGUUCUGAUGCUUGCAAGGUCCUGGUACUGAGCUCCUAAAACCCCUUGGAAUUUCCUGAGUGGAGGAGGUAUUGUGAGCAAAGGGAUGUGGAAGCUAGCUAAUAUUCUUCAUAAAGACCCUUAAACCACAGGCUAUGGAGAGCUUCCAGACAAUAUGUCACAGCCUCAGCAAUCUGGGAAAGGAGGAAGCAGAAGAACUGGGACCCGCAUGUAUCCAACACCCCAACCCCCCACUUUCAAUGUGGGGUCAAGUUUCCAAGAAGAGCUACAUAAUGGUGUCACCCUAGCUGGUCUUCCCCCCCCCCAAAUAUUUGUUUUAUGUAAUUUGCUGAACAUUCAUGAAUAUUAGCAUGAAUAAGAUAUGUGUGACUAUUAAAUAG